This is a long non-coding RNA of Anguilla anguilla (European eel), 781 nucleotides long. RefSeq lists it as uncharacterized. The transcript is spliced from 2 exons. NCBI's taxonomy places the organism in Eukaryota, Metazoa, Chordata, Actinopteri, Anguilliformes, Anguillidae. The record is from RefSeq and is a predicted model, not a curated record.
GCGCACGCUCGCUGCCACCAGGAGUUCACAGGAAACAGGUACCUGCACACGCUCGCUGCCACCAGGAGUUCACAGGAAACAGGUACCUGCACACGCUCGCUGCCACCAGGAGUUCACAGGAAACAGGUACCUGCACGCGCUCGCUGCCACCAGGAGUUCACAGGAAACAGGUACCUGUGCACGCUCGCUGCUCCCAGGAGUUCACAGGAAACAGGUACCUGUGCACGCUCGCUGCCACCAGGAGUUCACAGGAAACAGGUACCUGCACACGCUCGCUGCCACCAGGAGUUCACAGGAAACAGGUACCUGCACACGCUCGCUGCCACCAGGAGUUCACAGGAAACAGGUACCUGUGCACGCUCGCUGCUCCCAGGAGUUCACAGGAAACAGGUACCUGUGCACGCUCGCUGCCACCAGGAGUUCACAGGAAACAGAUACCUGCACACGCUCGCUGCCACCAGGAGUUCACAGGAAACAGGUACCUGUGCACGCUCGCUGCCACCAGGAGUUCACAGGAAACAGGUACCUGCACACGCUCGCUGCUCCCAGGAGUUCACAGGAAACAGGUACCUGCACACGCUCGCUGCCACCAGGAGUUCACAGGAAACAGGUACCUGUGCACGCUCGCUGUAAUGAGGAGGACCCACAGAUAUGAUCAGAUAUCCUACAUUUGGAUACGAAGACAAUAAACUGAACAUUCUAAUGCUGAUAUAGCGAUCACUAAUGGUUACUGAAAGCAAUGUUCUAGAACCCCGACUUAGAAUUUUGAAAAAAAAAAAAA